UGAGGAAUAUUGGUCAAUGGACGGGAGUCUGAACCAGCCAAGUAGCGUGCAGGAUGACGGCCCUAUGGGUUGUAAACUGCUUUUGUGCGGGGAUAAAGUGUGGGACGUGUCCCAUAUUGCAGGUACCGCAUGAAUAAGGACCGGCUAAUUCCGUGCCAGCAGCCGCGGUAAUACGGAAGGUCCGGGCGUUAUCCGGAUUUAUUGGGUUUAAAGGGUGCGUAGGCGGCUUUGCAAGUCAGCGGUGAAAGGCCCGGGCUCAACCCGGAAAGUGCCGUUGAUACUGUGAGGCUGGGAUGCGGAUGCUGUGGGAGGAAUGAGUGGUGUAGCGGUGAAAUGCAUAGAUAUCACUCAGAACACCGAUUGCGAAGGCAUCUCACAAAUCCGCAAUUGACGCUGAGGCACGAAAGCGUGGGGAUCGAACAGGAUUAGAUACCCUGGUAGU
This 442-nucleotide ribosomal RNA is filed under the name uncultured Prevotella sp. RNAcentral describes it as "bacterial SSU rRNA". It matches the Rfam family "Bacterial small subunit ribosomal RNA", at positions 355 to 794 of the family's 1533-position model. The record is from RNAcentral. Lineage: Bacteria; Pseudomonadati; Bacteroidota; Bacteroidia; Bacteroidales; Prevotellaceae.